UGCUGGGCGGGAACUUCCUCUGUGAGCCAUGGAGGAGAUUGAGUUUGAGAAAUGAGAAGGUCACUACUUUUCUUUGAGUAUCAAAUGUCCGGGAGGGUUUGGACCAGAUUAGUCUCCACUGUGUUGGCAAGUUUCUCACCACAUUUCUGUUUGUCCUGGAAAUUCUGAGUGUUUUUCAUCAUCAUCUGCUCUGGAAGCUCCUUGACAAGAGGUCAGCUCCCAACUGCUCAGCGCAAGCUUCACCAAGAUGUAAGCAGCCAAGCGCAUCUUCAAGAACCUGGAUGCAUCUUGCACUUCCUGUUUUCUUUUAGGAAAUGACAGGAGUCUAGCAUAACUGCCCUACAAGAGACUCCACGCAGCAGUGGGUUGAAACAGAUGCCAAACAUUAGAUGGAGCUUGGAGGAGCCUUCUGGAAGAGU
Molecule: long non-coding RNA, 419 nt
Organism: Mus musculus (house mouse)
Lineage: Eukaryota; Metazoa; Chordata; Mammalia; Rodentia; Muridae
Product: predicted gene, 52209
Exons: 3
Source: RefSeq, a predicted model, not a curated record